Amaranthus tricolor (Joseph's coat) is the source of this 859-nucleotide long non-coding RNA. RefSeq lists it as uncharacterized. Lineage: Eukaryota; Viridiplantae; Streptophyta; Magnoliopsida; Caryophyllales; Amaranthaceae. The record is from RefSeq and is a predicted model, not a curated record. The transcript has 3 exons.
AUUGCUCCGGUUGUUUGUUACCCGCAGCAAAUAACCCUUAACACCCUCAAUUGAUGCGGUCCUUUGGAAACCGGAGCAAAUAACCCUCAAUUGAAAGGGGUAUAAUUAAAGAAAGCAAGGUAUUCAUUUCUGCAUAUUCUGUUGAGGAGUAAUCAGAGAAAAGAUAGUGUGCGAUUUUUCUUCAUUUCAUUCUUACAGUUCCUUUUAGGGAUGGAGAGCGCAUAGGUUUCAGUUAUCUUUAUAUCUCAGAAGUAUACUGGAGAUAAGGCUGAAAUGAAGGUGCUACGUGAUUCAGCUACACACACUUUCAACAUCAAACUUGGUACUCAUAGGAGACUCAUUCCAGCUCAUAGCAAGGGUAGACCUCCAUCGUAUUAUAUAGUUGCGGGAUUUGUAUUCACAACUGUCUCAGUUCCAUAUCUUCGUUCUGAGGCCUCGAUUGGUAAAUAUGUGCAAGUAUAUGGGUAUCAUGCCAUUUGGAACAGAUGCAUAUUUACUUUUAUGCUUCGAGACAAGCUUCGAAAGUAAGUUGUGUUGGUCAAGGUGAAAAAUGCGGUAGCUGGUCAAGCUUCGAAAGUAUAUGGGUAGUAUGUACUUCAGAUUUCCAGAUUUUCGAGCACAAAAAUGCGGUGGGACGUAUGGCUACCCGUCAUUGUAAUUAAUUUUAAGCGAUAGAUAUAUAGUCUCCUUUUGCUGGGCGAAAGAGAAUGAUUAGCAUGAACUAUAUUUACUGUCACAGUUCGAUCACACUUCUCGAUUCUGUACUUCCCUGAAUUUUUUUGAUUCUGUGUACUACUAAUUUAUUUGUCAAUUUCUGUAUGUUAACAGUGUCCAAUCUCCAUGAGCAUACAAAUUUGUA